This 721-nucleotide long non-coding RNA is filed under the name Fukomys damarensis (Damara mole-rat). Its description in RNAcentral is "lncRNA (ENSFDAG00000025483.1)". The record is from RNAcentral. Lineage: Eukaryota; Metazoa; Chordata; Mammalia; Rodentia; Bathyergidae.
CUUAGCUGUCCCCACUUGGCAGCUGUCUGUCCAGUUGUACCACCCUCUGCCUAAAACUCCUUGUGGCUCCCUGUUUUCUUAGGGUGAAGAACAACCUUUCAUGUGGACCACAGGGCCCUGCACCUGCGCCUGGUCUAGGCCUCUGACCCAUUUCAGAAACUGUGUCAGUAGUCCGCUGUGCCCAGGAAUCCUGCACCGUGCCACCCUAUGGACCCAAGGGCUGGUUUUUCUGGUUUGCUCCCCCAGGGUGAUUUACAUAAUUCUUUAAAGACUCCUCCGGAGCCGGAAGCCGAGUAACCUGUUUUCAGACUUAGAGAGAGGGGAGCCCCACGGUUGUUUCUCCAAAAUCUGGGUAAGUAUCUUUUAAAGUUUCUUUUUCUUCAGACCCCUUAUCGUUAUUUUUUACUGUUUUGUUUUUACCGGGGAUCAAACUCGGGUCCUUGCGCUUUCAAGGCAGGCGGCAGAACCACUGAACUAAAUCCCAGCCCCCUGAUCUUUUUUUUUCUUUUCUUUUCUUUUUUUUGAGACAGGGUCUCACUGUGUAGUUGAGACUGACCUGGAACUCACUCUGUAGCCCAGGCUGGUCUCGAACUCACAGCGAUGCUCCUGCCUCAGCCUCCUGAGUGCUGGUAUUACAGGCGUGCACCACCACGCCUGUCUGAUCAUUAUUUUUUAAAGUGCCUUAAUUUGGAGCUUAUGCAUCCAUUGUCUGUUUCUCGCG